GGAUGUGAGGGGAGGCGGCGGGGCCCGGCGGGGGCGGCCCCGAGGUGAGGCCCGGGGGGGACUGGGGGGGUAUCGGGGGGGUACCGGGGGUGCCCACGGUGGUGGGCAGGGGGCCGCGGCCCCGCUCCGCCGGAGCUGGGGGCGUUGAGGCCGGAGAGGGUCCGGGGAGAGCUGGGAUCGGCCUGGCCGUGCCUGAGGGGGCUUCGGUGUUAGGGCCUGCAGUUAGCUCUUCCUUCUCAGCACCAGCUCGAUGAUGUUAGAUAGCCGUGGGUAGGACAGGUUCCCCUGACCAGUCCCAGGACUCCCUCUGCUCCUUCUCCAGCUCUCAACUGCUUUGCACCAUCUUCUCCCAAGUGCUUUUCACCAGGACUUUGCUUGGUGUCAGUGCUGCCUGCACUGGGACUGCCUCUCCCGCAGCGUUUUG
This 424-nucleotide long non-coding RNA is filed under the name Anas zonorhyncha (Eastern spot-billed duck). RNAcentral describes it as "lncRNA (ENSAZOG00000006976.1)". Lineage: Eukaryota; Metazoa; Chordata; Aves; Anseriformes; Anatidae. The record is from RNAcentral.